RNAcentral lists this long non-coding RNA (212 nucleotides) under Mytilus galloprovincialis (Mediterranean mussel). Lineage: Eukaryota; Metazoa; Mollusca; Bivalvia; Mytilida; Mytilidae. The record is from RNAcentral.
ACAAACCCAACCCAGAAGCGAUGGUAAGUGUGGUACAUGCUGUAAUAGUUACGAACAUUUUGAGAAUGCACACUUUUACGUUACCCCUAUUAUUUUCUUAUAUAUUUAAUCAUAUCAAUAGGCAGCAGAACCACCCCUAAAUAAAAUACAUCAGAAAAGAAAAUUCAAUUUUUAUCAUAGUAGUGCUAAGUUCCACAAGUCCCAUAUAAUUC